RNA transcript from Aphidius gifuensis, 2981 nucleotides. RefSeq lists it as uncharacterized. The transcript has 15 exons. Lineage: Eukaryota; Metazoa; Arthropoda; Insecta; Hymenoptera; Braconidae. The record is from RefSeq and is a predicted model, not a curated record.
GUGUGUUUCUCUUUGACUUUUUUCGUUACUCCCCGCCUCUUUUCUCUCAUUGCAUAUUGCUUUAUCCUCCAAGAGUAAUGCAUUAUUGUAGUGCGUGCAAGAACGACUUGUAGUCAUGUGUUUGAAAUUAUGAAUCCACUGUUUAUAUUUUAUUGAUAGUGGCGAAUAAAUUAUCGGAUACAAAUCAUUUUUACGAAUGUAUUUUUCCUUUAACUGCAGCUUAUCGAAAAUCAAAAAUACUUAUUAUCUAUUCACUUAUAUUUGCUUGUAUAUUUCAUUGUGUAUUAUAAUGUAUUUUUAAUAAAGAUGUAGAAAACUUUUGCAUAAUCACAAGAAGUAUUCAACUACUAUUGUGGAAUGAGGCUGACGAUAAUUUUUUUUUUAUUGUGUAAUGGUCUAGAAGGAAUAAACCUGUAAUUUUAUUUGCCUGGACAUUAUUUAAUACAACAGAAAUAAAAGUCGAAUCAAGCAACGUCAGGUGACAUAAAAAAAUCUAACAAUAAGAUGAUGGUCAUAAAAGCUUCAUGAAUCAGUACUUAUUUAUGAUUCUACAUGUUCUAUAAUCAUGAAUGAUAAAAUUAUACCAAGAAGAAAACUUUCAGUUUUUCAACGAUCCUUCGAUAUUAAUACGGUAUUUGAAACGACUCAACAUGAUAUAAUCACUGAAAAUCAUAGUCUGAAUGACUGCUUUCCAAUUGAUAAUACUACGAUGAAUAAUUCAGUAAGUGUCAGUACUGCUAACAUCAGUCAUCCAGAAAGAGACGAUAGUUGUGAUAUAAUUUCUCCAUCUACCAGUGAAAAAACUGUUUUUCAAGCAUCAAGAUUCAGUUAUUUAUUUGAAAAAAAUCGAAACAAAAAUAACAAUGAUGAUAAUAAAAGAAAAAACGAAGGAAACGUUACAUGCCGUGAACAGGUAACUGUUGAAAAUCAAUGCAAUGAUGAAAGAGAUUCAAAAUUUAGAACACUUGAUAAAAAUGAUGAUAUUCAGCGUAAUAAAUCACGGAACAAGUUCAAAUCAAUUGACAAAAUACCAGGAUUCGAAGUGAUGAAAUCAAGCGAUGGGAAUUUGUCAGAGAAAAAUAAACUUGAUGUGCCUGAAGAUCAAAACGGAAAUAAUAAAACUGACAACAAAAUGAUUGAGGAAUCAAGUAAAAUGAGGAGAUCAAUGUCAAUUGACGAAAAAACUUAUCGUUACAAUCAAAAAAACAAAGUCAUUUCUUGCUGUAAUUGUCAAUCAAAUCGGUCCCAACAAGAAAACAUAACAUUGCGAAAUUCGAUAACAAACGAGGAAUUUCAAGUGCCAAAUCAUGAACUGUUUCAAAAAUCAGAAAUUGUUAAUCAUAUAAGUUUUGACAAUACCGACAUCAUUAGUUUGUCUGAAGAGGAGUUAGAGCGUAAGUAUCUAGCAUUCUCAAUUGGUGUUUUAACGGAUAAAGGAACAUUAUUUCGUCGACGAGAAAUUUCGAUCCGACAACGAGACCAAACUGAAAAUAAUCUCGUCAGUGAAAUAUUUCAAAUGCAGCACGAUAUUCAGGCACUCGCUCUACCAUGUUCCGACAGUGAAACUGUUGAGAAAAUCGAACGGGCAAGAAAUCGAAUCGCUAUAUUAUUGACAUGUGCACAGAAAGUUUCUUGCGCUGCAGAGACAGUGGGCGCCAUUCAGCAAGAGUGUAAACUUUCACAUGACGUUUAUCAAACUGAUCAAUAUCUAAAAGUCUUACGCAGUAGAUGCAACAAGUAUGCAAUGAAUCUUGCAGAAUCCAAGCGAAUUCUGUCGGAAAACAAUAUAAUCAUCGAUGAAAAUAAUGGUGAACUAAGUGAAGAAUUGACUCCAACACUUCGAUACCGUGGACUACCAAGUUCAACGAAUCGCACUAUGGUCACUAGGAGAAGAGCCAGUAUAGCAACGAUUUUUCGAUCAAUUGGGAACUGUCAAGAAAGAUCAAAGGACAGCGUCAGUCAACGAGAUUUAUUGCCUGGGCGUAUAGCGAUGAGAAGACCUUCCCUUACUACCCAGCUUUAUGUAGUAGAACCAGAAAGGAAAAAUCCAUCAGAAAGCUCAGAUGGUGUUGAAGAAUUCCUAGAAAUAAUAAAACAUGCUGAGCCACGACGAGCUCUACACGAUAAUGACUAUUCAGUCCAAUCUCAUAUCAGCUAUCGGGAUAAAGAUAUUGACGAGACAAGCUUGAAUACAAGGACUCAGCAAGCAGUAGGAACGAUUACGAAUAAUAAAAAACCAUCAACACACAAUUCUAGAUUUCGACAACCAUUCCUGCCACUUGGCUCUGGAUCAGGCUGCUUCUUCACUUGGUAUCUAAUAAUUUUGUAUAUUCUGAUCACAUAUAUGGCUUGGAUUUACAUGAAGUAAAAGAUAUCAUAGGAUUUAAUUCCAUUGUAUGUCAGCUCAUUAUUCAAAUAACCGUUUAUGUAAGAGAUUCAAGGUCAUCUCAUCGAUGAUAGUAAACAAAUUCGAAUACUGUAACUUGAGUCUAUGUAUAACGUUACAAUACAAACUUAAUAGUAAUGUGUUGGUAGUAGUGAAACAAGAAGAGAUUCUAGAUAUGCGGGCGGUCAAGGGAAAGGUAGAUCGGAAGAGACGGGGGACUGCAACCUUGUCAGUAAAACAGAGAUGCUUUGGUCCUCCUGAAAAUUUAUAAUCGAAUUGGAUGAAUAAAUGAUUGACAAAUGAGAUUUAAAAUAAUCAAUUCUGCUUUAGAAAAAGACAAUGCAAAACGUACCUGAAUAGAGGUUAGAAUUGUCAAAUUGAUUCCUUUCGAUGGACAAUUAGGUGCCAGCAGCUCAAUAACAACAAUUAACCGAAGACCUGUCCGAAAAUGUCACAAAAAAUAUCCUCAAUUGUUUUUGCAAUUACUCAAUGAUCAAGGCUGCUGUAUACCGAAUGCAAGAUGAAUGAGUAUUACACCUGCCACGAUUUGGAGCUCCGGGGAAUACCGGGAAAUGGGAACCAUGUUAUUGUUGAC